RNAcentral lists this ribosomal RNA (448 nucleotides) under [Candida] sp. UFMGCB L97. RNAcentral describes it as "eukaryotic LSU rRNA". It matches the Rfam family "Eukaryotic large subunit ribosomal RNA", at positions 140 to 653 of the family's 3401-position model. The record is from RNAcentral. Lineage: Eukaryota; Fungi; Ascomycota; Saccharomycetes; Saccharomycetales.
UUAUUGUAAUUUGAAGAUUUGGCAUUGGAGAAAGCUAACCCAAGUUACUUGGAAUAGUACGUCAUAGAGGGUGACAACCCCGUCUGGCUAACCGUUCUCCAUGUAUUGCCUUAUCAAAGAGUCGAGUUGUUUGGGAAUGCAGCUCAAAAGUGGGUGGUAAACUCCAUCUAAAGCUAAAUACUGGUGAGAGACCGAUAGCGAACAAGUACUGUGAAGGAAAGGUGAAAAGAACUUUGAAAAGAGAGUGAAAUAGUAUGUGAAAUUGUUGAUAGGGAAGGAAAUGAGUGGAGAGUGGUUUAGCGUUUCAGCCUUCUUUCGAGGGGGUGUACUACCAACGCCGAGUCAUUGUCAGCGAGACAGGGGUUAUAAACGGGUUGCCUUCUGGCUUCUCACCUAAACCCCUCCCACUGGCGAACAACGACCUUAAUUCAACCCAUUUUCACCCGUC